UACGGAGGGUGCGAGCGUUAAUCGGAAUUACUGGGCGUAAAGCGCGCGUAGGCGGUUUGAUCAGUCGGGUGUGAAAUCCCUGGGCUUAACCUAGGAAUUGCAUUCGAUACUGCGAUGACUUGAGUUCGGUAGAGGAGUGUGGAACUCCUGGUGUAGCGGUGGAAUGCGCAGAUAUCAGGAAGAACACCGGUGGCGAAGGCGGCACUCUGGGCCGAUACUGACGCUGAGGAGCGAAAGCUAGGGGAGCAAACAGG
RNAcentral lists this ribosomal RNA (254 nucleotides) under uncultured bacterium. RNAcentral describes it as "partial 16S ribosomal RNA". It matches the Rfam family "Bacterial small subunit ribosomal RNA", at positions 524 to 776 of the family's 1533-position model. The record is from RNAcentral.